GCGCUUCUGAGGUGCGAGACAGGAUUUAGGUUCCAGCGCCGCAAGGCGUGAGAGUUCGAGUCUCUCCGUCCGCACCA
RNAcentral lists this transfer RNA (77 nucleotides) under Pseudomonas aeruginosa. Its description in RNAcentral is "tRNA-Leu". The record is from RNAcentral. Lineage: Bacteria; Pseudomonadati; Pseudomonadota; Gammaproteobacteria; Pseudomonadales; Pseudomonadaceae.